Molecule: non-coding RNA, 26 nt
Filed under: Mus musculus (house mouse)
Lineage: Eukaryota; Metazoa; Chordata; Mammalia; Rodentia; Muridae
Source: RNAcentral
UAGAAAGCAGCAACAAGACCUGUGUC